CCUACGGGAGGCAGCAGUAGGGAAUCUUCCACAAUGGGCGAAAGCCUGAUGGAGCAACGCCGCGUGGGUGAAGAAGGUCUUCGGAUCGUAAAACCCUGUUGUUAGAGAAGAAAGUGCGUGAGAGUAACUGUUCACGUUUCGACGGUAUCUAACCAGAAAGCCACGGCUAACUACGUGCCCGCAGCCGCGGUAAUACGUAGGGGGCAAGCGUUAUCCGGAUUUAUUGGGCGUAAAGGGAACGCGGGCGGUCUUUUAAGUCUGAGGUGAAAGCCUUCGGCUUAACCGGAGUAGUGCAUUGUAAACUGGGAGACUUGAGUGCAGAAGAGGAGAGUGGAACUCCAUGUGUAGCGGUGAAAUGCGUAGAUAUAUGGAAGAACACCAGUGGCGAAGGCGGCUCUCUGGUCUGUAACUGACGCUGAGGUUCGAAAGCGUGGGUAGCAAACAGGAUUAGAUACCCGAGUAGUC
RNAcentral lists this ribosomal RNA (465 nucleotides) under uncultured bacterium. Its description in RNAcentral is "partial 16S ribosomal RNA". It matches the Rfam family "Bacterial small subunit ribosomal RNA", at positions 338 to 795 of the family's 1533-position model. The record is from RNAcentral.